GCUGUGGGCUAGGGGUGAAAUGCCAAACGAACUUGGAGAUAGCUGGUUCUCGCCGAAAUAAUUUUAGGAUUAGCGUCCCACCGUUUAAUCCCGGAGGUAAAGCACUGAUUGAGGUAGGGGCCUACCCGGCUACCGAACUCAUUCAAACUCUGAAUACCGGGAUUCCAAGGGGGGCAGUCGGACUACGGGAGAUGAGUUUCGUGGUCGAGAGGGAAAGAACCCAGACCGUCAGCUAAGGUCCUGAAGUGGUGACUAAGUGGGAAAGGAUGUGGAGUUACUGAGACAGCCAGGAGGUUGGCUUAGAAGCAGCCAUCCUUGAAAGAGUGCGUAAUAGCUCACUGGUCUAGUGAUUCUGCGCCGAAAAUAUAACGGGGCUCAAGUCACCCACCGAAGCUACGGGUUUGUUGUGGUUGCAAGACGACGACAAGCAGUAGGCGAGCGUUCUGUUAACCUGAGAAGCCAUACCGUAAGGAGUGGUGGAGGAGACAGAAGCGAGAAUGUUGGCACGAG
Molecule: ribosomal RNA, 510 nt
Filed under: uncultured bacterium
Lineage: Bacteria
Description: bacterial LSU rRNA
Rfam family: Bacterial large subunit ribosomal RNA
Source: RNAcentral